ACGAACGCUGGCGGCGUGCUUCACACAUGCAAGUCGAACGGAAAGGCCCUGCUUUUGUGGGGUGCUCGCGUGGCGAACGGGUGAGUAACACGUGAGUAACCUGCCCUUGACUUUGGGAUAACUUCAGGAAACUGGGGCUAAUACCGGAUAGGAGCUCCUGCUGCAUGGUGGGGGUUGGAAAGUUUCGGCGGUUGGGGAUGGACUCGCGGCUUAUCAGCUUGUUGGUGGGGUAGUGGCUUACCAAGGCUUUGACGGGUAGCCGGCCUGAGAGGGUGACCGGCCACAUUGGGACUGAGAUACGGCCCAGACUCCUACGGGAGGCAGCAGUGGGGAAUAUUGCACAAUGGGCGGAAGCCUGAUGCAGCAACGCCGCGUGCGGGAUGACGGCCUUCGGGUUGUAAACCGCUUUCGCCUGUGACGAAGCGUGAGUGACGGUAAUGGGUAAAGAAGCACCGGCUAACUACGUG
RNAcentral lists this ribosomal RNA (467 nucleotides) under uncultured bacterium. Its description in RNAcentral is "partial 16S ribosomal RNA". It matches the Rfam family "Bacterial small subunit ribosomal RNA", at positions 29 to 507 of the family's 1533-position model. The record is from RNAcentral.